Molecule: ribosomal RNA, 497 nt
Filed under: uncultured bacterium
Lineage: Bacteria
Description: partial 16S ribosomal RNA
Rfam family: Bacterial small subunit ribosomal RNA
Source: RNAcentral
GAUGAACGCUGGCGGCGUGCCUAAUACAUGCAAGUCGAGCGAACAGACGAGGAGCUUGCUCCUCUGACGGUAGCGGCGGACGGGUGAGUAACACGUGGAUAACCUACCUAUAAGACUGGGAUAACUUCGGGAAACCGGAGCUAAUACCGGAUAAUAUAUUGAACCGCAUGGUUCAAUAGUUAAAGACGGCUUUGCUGUCACUUAUAGAUGGAUCCGCGCCGCAUUAGCUAGUUGGUAAGGUAACGGCUUACCAAGGCAACGAUGCGUAGCCGACCUGAGAGGGUGAUCGGCCACACUGGAACUGAGACACGGUCCAGACUCCUACGGGAGGCAGCAGUAGGGAAUCUUCCGCAAUGGGCGAAAGCCUGACGGAGCAACGCCGCGUGAGUGAUGAAGGUCUUCGGAUCGUAAAACUCUGUUAUUAGGGAAGAACAAAUGUGUAAGUAACUAUGCACGUCUUGACGGUACCUAAUCAGAAAGCCACGGCUAACUACGUG